Molecule: long non-coding RNA, 434 nt
Organism: Lutra lutra (Eurasian river otter)
Lineage: Eukaryota; Metazoa; Chordata; Mammalia; Carnivora; Mustelidae
Exons: 3
Source: RefSeq, a predicted model, not a curated record
AGAAGAGCAAGAAAUGUAAAUAUCCCUCCCAAAAUCCUCUUUUCAAAAAUGUUUGAUGGAAGUUUUGAAACUCUUGAAGUGAAUUCAACAGAUGACUCAUGGUUUGCAGGAUGUAAAAGUAAACUAAGAAAAGCUGUGAUAUUUAAGAAGAUAAUCCUGUACAUUACCAGAUCUCACUCUGAAGCCAUUUGUCUCCCUCCCAAGAGAGGCCAUUUUUCUAAAAUAAAGUCUGAGUGAAGUAAUUUCUAAGAAACUGUGAAAAGGACUCAUUUUCUUCUGUUUUCUUUGUGAAUUUUUCUUCUGAAAUGUAAGCCUUCUGUGACCUAGUUUAAUAAAAGAUCUGUGCAAAUGUCAUGGUAAAGCAUACAGCAAGUCAUUCUGUCAUUUCAACAUGGCUAAUCUGUAUUGAAACCAGUAAGAGUUUACCAAGUCAA